RNAcentral lists this ribosomal RNA (492 nucleotides) under uncultured bacterium. RNAcentral's name for it is "partial 16S ribosomal RNA". It matches the Rfam family "Bacterial small subunit ribosomal RNA", at positions 29 to 507 of the family's 1533-position model. The record is from RNAcentral.
AGUGAACGCUGGCGGUAGGCCUAACACAUGCAAGUCGAACGGCAGCACAGUAAGAGCUUGCUCUUACGGGUGGCGAGUGGCGGACGGGUGAGGAAUACAUCGGAAUCUACUUUUUCGUGGGGGAUAACGUAGGGAAACUUACGCUAAUACCGCAUACGACCUACGGGUGAAAGCAGGGGAUCUUCGGACCUUGCGCGAUUGAAUGAGCCGAUGUCGGAUUAGCUAGUUGGCGGGGUAAAGGCCCACCAAGGCGACGAUCCGUAGCUGGUCUGAGAGGAUGAUCAGCCACACUGGAACUGAGACACGGUCCAGACUCCUACGGGAGGCAGAAGUGGGGAAUAUUGGACAAUGGGCGCAAGCCUGAUCCAGCCAUACCGCGUGGGUGAAGAAGGCCUUCGGGUUGUAAAGCCCUUUUGUUGGGAAAGAAAAGCAGCAGGUUAAUACCCCGCUGUCCUGACGGUACCCAAAGAAUAAGCACCGGCUGACUUCGUG